Molecule: transfer RNA, 63 nt
Filed under: Vibrio cholerae
Lineage: Bacteria; Pseudomonadati; Pseudomonadota; Gammaproteobacteria; Vibrionales; Vibrionaceae
Also listed under: 2 other names
Description: tRNA-Asp
Rfam family: tRNA
About the family: Transfer RNA (tRNA) molecules are approximately 80 nucleotides in length. Their secondary structure includes four short double-helical elements and three loops (D, anti-codon, and T loops).
Source: RNAcentral
GGUAGUUCAGUCGGUUAGAAUACCGGCCUGUCACGCCGGGGGUCGCGGGUUCGAGUCCCGUCC